Molecule: non-coding RNA, 77 nt
Organism: Parelaphostrongylus tenuis
Lineage: Eukaryota; Metazoa; Nematoda; Chromadorea; Rhabditida; Metastrongylidae
Source: the annotation of a GenBank genome assembly
GCCUCGGUGGCGUAGUGGUGAUAGUAGCACGCGUCCCAAGUAUGGAUGAAACGCGGGUUCGAUUCCCGUCUGAGGCC